This 73-nucleotide transfer RNA is filed under the name Ailuropoda melanoleuca (giant panda). It matches the Rfam family "tRNA". Rfam says of the family: Transfer RNA (tRNA) molecules are approximately 80 nucleotides in length. Their secondary structure includes four short double-helical elements and three loops (D, anti-codon, and T loops). The record is from Rfam by way of RNAcentral. Lineage: Eukaryota; Metazoa; Chordata; Mammalia; Carnivora; Ursidae.
ACCUGACUGGCUCAGUCGGUACAGUGUGUGACUCUUAAUCUUGGGAUUGUGAGUUCGAGCCCCAUGUUGGGUG